Molecule: ribosomal RNA, 478 nt
Filed under: uncultured bacterium
Lineage: Bacteria
Description: partial 16S ribosomal RNA
Rfam family: Bacterial small subunit ribosomal RNA
Source: RNAcentral
GAUGAACGCUGGCGGCGUGCCUAACACAUGCAAGUCGAACGGAGUCCAGCCUUAGAGACCUUCGGGUCAAAGAGGGGAAGACUGAGUGGCGGACGGGUGAGUAACACGUGGGCAACCUGGCUCAUAGAGGGGGAUAACAGAGAGAAAUUUCUGCUAAUACCGCAUAAGCACACACUGCCGCAUGGCAGAGUGUGAAAAGAGAAUCGCUAUGAGAUGGACCCGCGUCUGAUUAGCCAGUUGGCAGGGUAAGAGCCUACCAAAGCGACGAUCAGUAGCCGAUUUGAGAGGACGAACGGCCACAUUGGGACUGAGACACGGCCCAAACUCCUACGGGAGGCAGCAGUGGGGGAUAUUGCACAAUGGGGGGAACCCUGAUGCAGCGACGCCGCGUGAGUGAAGAAGUAUUUCGGUAUGUAAAGCUCUAUCAGCAGGGAAGAUAAUGACAGUACCUGAAUAAGAAGCCCCGGCUAACUACGUG